Molecule: ribosomal RNA, 460 nt
Filed under: uncultured bacterium
Lineage: Bacteria
Description: partial 16S ribosomal RNA
Rfam family: Bacterial small subunit ribosomal RNA
Source: RNAcentral
CCUACGGGAGGCAGCAGUGAGGAAUAUUGGUCAAUGGACGAGGGUCUGAACCAGCCAAGUAGCGUGAAGGAUGACUGCCCUAUGGGUUGUAAACUUCUUUUAUAUGGGAAUAAAACGUUCCACGUGUGGGAUUUUGUAUGUACCAUAUGAAUAAGGAUCGGCUAACUCCGUGCCAGCAGCCGCGGUAAUACGGAGGAUCCGAGCGUUAUCCGGAUUUAUUGGGUUUAAAGGGAGCGUAGGUGGAUUGUUAAGUCAGUUGUGAAAGUUUGCGGCUCAACCGUAAAAUUGCAGUUGAAACUGGCAGUCUUGAGUACAGUAGAGGUGGGCGGAAUUCGUGGUGUAGCGGUGAAAUGCUUAGAUAUCACGAAGAACUCCGAUUGCGAAGGCAGUUCACUGGACUGCAACUGACACUGAGGCUCGAAAGUGUGGGUAUCAAACAGGAUUAGAUACCCGAGUAGUC